Molecule: ribosomal RNA, 586 nt
Filed under: uncultured bacterium
Lineage: Bacteria
Description: bacterial SSU rRNA
Rfam family: Bacterial small subunit ribosomal RNA
Source: RNAcentral
UGGUGUAGCGGUGGAAUGCGCAGAUAUCAGGAGGAACACCAAUGGCGAACGCAGAUCUCUGGGCCGUAACUGACGCUGAUGAGCGAAAGCAUGGGGAGCGAACAGGAUUAGAUACCCUGGUAGUCCAUGCCGUAAACGUUGGGAACUAGAUGCAGGGACCAUUCCACGGUCUCUGUGUCGCAGCUAACGCAUUAAGUUCCCCGCCUGGGGAGUACGGCCGCGAGGUUAAAACUCAGAGGAAUUGACGGGGGCCCGCACAAGCGGCGGAUCAUGCGGAUUAAUUCGAUGCAACGCGAAGAACCUUACCAAUGCUUGACAUAUACCGGAAACGGCUGGAAACAGUCGCCCCGCAAGGUCGGUAUACAGGUGGUGCAUGGUUGUCGUCAGCUCGUGUCGUGAGAUGUUGGGUUAAGUCCCGCAACGAGCGCAACCCUCGUUCUAUGUUGCCAGCACGUAAUGGUGGGAACUCAUAGGAGACUGCCGGGGUCAACUCGGAGGAAGGUGGGGAUGACGUCCAAUCAUCAUGCCCCUUAUGUCUUGGGCUUCACGCAUGCUACAAUGGCCGGUAGAAGGGCUGCAAUACGGU